This 468-nucleotide ribosomal RNA is filed under the name uncultured bacterium. RNAcentral's name for it is "partial 16S ribosomal RNA". It matches the Rfam family "Bacterial small subunit ribosomal RNA", at positions 28 to 507 of the family's 1533-position model. The record is from RNAcentral.
GACGAACGCUGGCGGCGUGCUUAACACAUGCAAGUCGAACGGAAAGGCCCUGCUUUUGUGGGGUGCUCGAGUGGCGAACGGGUGAGUAACACGUGAGUAACCUGCCCUUGACUUUGGGAUAACUUCAGGAAACUGGGGCUAAUACCGGAUAGGAGCUCCUGCUGCAUGGUGGGGGUUGGAAAGUUUCGGCGGUUGGGGAUGGACUCGCGGCUUAUCAGCUUGUUGGUGGGGUAGUGGCUUACCAAGGCUUUGACGGGUAGCCGGCCUGGGAGGGUGACCGGCCACAUUGGGACUGAGAUACGGCCCAGACUCCUACGGGAGGCAGCAGUGGGGAAUAUUGCACAAUGGGCGGAAGCAUGAUGCAGCAACGCCGCGUGCGGGAUGACGGCCUUCGGGUUGUAAACCGCUUUCGCCUGUGACGAAGCGUGAGUGACGGUAAUGGGUAAAGAAGCACCGGCUAACUACGCG